Molecule: ribosomal RNA, 312 nt
Filed under: uncultured bacterium
Lineage: Bacteria
Description: bacterial SSU rRNA
Rfam family: Bacterial small subunit ribosomal RNA
Source: RNAcentral
GGUUUGAAAGCUCCGGCGGUACAGGAUGACCAUGCGCACGAUUAGUUAGUUGGUAAGGUAACGGCUUACCAAGACAAUGAGUGGGUAGGGGGUCCUGAGAGGGAGAUCCCCCACACUGGUACUGAGACACGGACCAGACUCCUACGGGAGGCAGCAGUGAGGAAUAUUGGUCAAUGGGCGCAAGCCUGAACCAGCCAUGCCGCGUGCAGGAAGACGGUCCUAUGGAUUGUAAACUGCUUUUAUACAGGAAGAAACCCUCCCACGUGUGGGAGCUUGACGGUACUGUAGGAAUAAGGAUCGGCUAACUCCGUG